GCUAGUUUAAAACCUGCUUCCAGUUCCUCCAUUUAAUCUAAAGGUUGUCUGUUCAAGAAGCUUGAGAGGAGUGUUGCUCGUACUAGUACAUAGUGAUACAAAGAAAUACUGCUUUUGGGGAUGUGAAAAUUUGGCUGUAAUGAUGUUUUAGCCUGGACAUGCUCAGCCAGGACAUGUUACAGGAAGAGGGAUCAGCAUUGGCUCACUCCUGCUCAUUGGCAGGCAUUCCAUGUUACUGAUGUCUCUGCUUUUGGAGCCAGAGAGAGGAGGCUGAAAUGAAACUUAGGAUAGGCAAGGAAAGAGUGAUGUGUAAAAUCGUGAAUCUCGGCAUUCUAAUCACAACCAUGGUUAUAAUUAGUGAUAUGGCAAAGAUAAAAUAUGCAACGUGCCUGAGGGACCUAUAUAUCCACUGCUCCCAGAUUGCUAUCUGACAAGCUAAUUAACCAUAACAAUGUUGAAAUACAUACUCAGAAUGGUUACUUGGGACUGGACUGACUAUUCUUUCAUUACAGUGAGAUGGAGAAAGCAAAGAGAAACUUAAGAGUAAGGGAAGUAGUGAAAUGAAGGACCUAUUUCUCAACCAGAAUGAAGGAGUCCAGGCUAGCAAACCUGCAUUACAACUGAUGUUGGAGCCACUGAUACCCCAUUGUAGUACCAAACCUGGAAGGAGGGCAUGGAGGGGGAUUAAGAGACCAGUAGAGCUGUACUUGAUUAUUGCAGAUGAUGGGGGAUGCCUCCCCAAGAAGAGUAGAAUAAAGAAGUCAUGCACACUAGCUUGUACUGGCACAAGUGCUUUUACGAAGAGUAAAUUGCUCACUGGAAAAAAAUACAGCUAUGAAUUUGAAGGUUGUGUUAAAUGACUAAGUUCAGCUGAAACCUAAUCACAGUCCUUGCAACCUGCCCUUGGUGAAUGCACUUCUGCAACAUGCACUGAGUGCUGUCUGUAGCCACGUGCCAGUGGUGCCGGGUGUUUGAGUGGCAUCCACAUUGCACAGUAGAGGGAUGCCCUUGGCACUCACCCAUAAGCAAUUCUUGUGCUUCUGUAAAAUCAUGAGUUGUGUCACUUGCUGCCUCUGCUGGCACACAGGGAGCUUCUUGUGUCUGAGCCGACAUUGACUGAAGAAAUGUCCUGAAGCUGCUGCCUUCCCUCAAAUCUGCUGUGAAACCUCAGGUGUACUCCUCAGAGGAAUGCCCAAGCUGGAUGCAUCCCAUCUGGUGAUGUACCUUCAAUCAAAAGUUUACCAUUUGCCAAAGAGAAAGAUAUAAUUGUCUGCCAAGACAAACCAACU
This is a long non-coding RNA of Corvus hawaiiensis (hawaiian crow), 1289 nucleotides long. RefSeq lists it as uncharacterized. The record is from RefSeq and is a predicted model, not a curated record. NCBI's taxonomy places the organism in Eukaryota, Metazoa, Chordata, Aves, Passeriformes, Corvidae. The transcript is spliced from 5 exons.